GAUCGUAUGGUAGUUCUAUUUUUAGUUUUUUGAGGAAUCUCCAUAAGAUUAGCCCUCAGCUAACUACUGCCAGUCCUCCUCUUUUUGCUGAGGAAGCCUGACUCUGAGCUAACAUCCGUGCCCAUCUUACUCUAGUUUAUACGUGGGACGCCUACCACAGCAUGGCUGCCAAGCAGUGCCAUGUCCGCACCUGGGAUCCGAACCAGCAAACCCCAGGCCGCCGAGAAGUGGAACGUGUGAACUUAACCGCUGCGCCACCGGGCCGGCGCCCUGAACUGACAAUUUUUAACGUAUUUUGGUGUGUUCCUCGAGAUGGCGUUUUUGAAGAUUUCUAUAAUAAUUCAUAUUGCUAAUGUGUUUGGUCUCGCUGGGAAGCAGAUCAGCUCUGCAGGUUAGGGGUGGAGUAAAGCAGAGGACUGAGGGGGACUUAGAGGCCUGGCUUAGAGCCACCAAACCAGGCGGCGUUCGGGGAUUUGAGCGGGACAGGGAGCACUGCACUGACCCAGAGCAGUACCGGUGCAAGAUUUAUCUUUGUUGUAGAAUCUGCAUUGGCCGUGAUAACCUUACAAUGGCCCUCGUCUGAGGAAGCACCCGUCUCUUGAUGCUGUGUUCCCCUGCAGCCAAUACUCCAUUUCUCUGCUUCCUGUUAAGGAAAACUCUGGGAAAGGAUGUCCACUUCUCGCCUGGAACAACUCCAGCUUGCUGCAUCUUAUGGUUCAUUCUCAGUCCUCCUUUUGCUAGUCUCUCAGCAUCGUUUGACAUAGUGCAGCCCUUCUUCCUUCCCGAGACCCUUCCCUCUCGGGGCCUCUGUGAUGCCACGCUCUCCUACCUCACUGUCCCUUCCUCCUCCACUGCUGCAUCCUCCUCUUCCCGAGAGGAUGUCAUCCACUUCCUGCCUCAUUCUCUUAUCUCAUUAUUUACCUCUCUCUCUCUCUCUCUCUCUCUCUCUCGCUCUCCUCCAGCCAUUUGGCCUUGCUGACUCAUGGCUAGGAACACGUCAUGCUUUUCCUGCCUCGAAUCCUUGCUUUGCCCUCCGUCUAACACUUUCCCUCAGACAUCUGCAUGGCUAACUUUUUCUUUUCCUUCAGGUCUCCCCUCAGAUAUCAUCCCCCACCCCAGAGUCAUUUGCAAUUCUCUCACUGUGCUUUUUCUUUAAAGAAAUUAUCAUUAUCUGAGAUUAUAUAAUUAUUUGUGUACCCAUUUUGUCUGUCAACCCUGCUAGAUUGUAAGCUCCUUGAGGGUGGGGACUGGUCUAUCUUGUGCGUCGCUGUAUCCCUAAUGACAGGACCAGUGCCCGGCAUUUAGGAAGAACUCAAAGAUAUUUUAAUCAGGUAAUGCCUUUAUGUGCCCAGCAGCUUCGUGUGAAAUGACAAUGCUUUGUAUUAAUUUAUGUGUAGUAGCCA
RNAcentral lists this long non-coding RNA (1403 nucleotides) under Equus caballus (horse). Its description in RNAcentral is "lncRNA (ENSECAG00000031548.3)". Lineage: Eukaryota; Metazoa; Chordata; Mammalia; Perissodactyla; Equidae. The record is from RNAcentral.